AGGAGCGUCUCCUCGAUGGUCUCCCCAUCUUCAGCCACUUUACGCUGGUUGCUAUACGCCUGGCCGAACGCCUGGGUAAGGUUUUCACGGCCGCCAGAGCUGAGCUGUCAUGAGAAAGGCGCUGAGGCUCGAUUGGGAAAAUCAAAGCAGGCAUCAACAGAACCAACGAGGCCGAUCGAGGUGGAGCCACUCGAUCCGCCUUCUGCGUUCUGGAGCUUCAUGGGAAGCAAAAGUGCUGCUGCCGUUUUUUUUUCUUUCUAUAAAAGUAGAUAGAAUUUCACUGCACACUCUGACAUCCAUGCGAUGCUUUAGUGGCUCAAUAAAUUCUCUGAACCAUCCCGGAUUUUCUCAGCACGUCAGCAGGAAGACGGGAUCCGGAGCUGGCUCUCCGGGAGACGAUGGAUCAAUGCAGCCGCAUAUGGAAAAUAGUUACAGCAGCAGCAUAAAGAUAUGGAAGAACAUAGGAAACCCACAGCUGCAAUUAGUCAAGCAAAGUGUAUUCCCCUCAAACCAGAAUGUUGUAUUUGAAUAAUGUAUGAAGUUUAUUUUGUAUGCAGAAAACUUAAUCGCAACGUGCAGCUGUUGAUGAUUCAAACAACAGAACAAUAAGAAAACUGGAGCUAAAAAAAUCAAAAAGAAGCUUUAUUAUGAUUUAUUAUAGUAUAUUUGUACUGUUCUAGGCACUAAAAUGAUGAAAAAUUAGAUGUUAUCCUGAUGAAUAAAAUAGAAUAGAAUAGAAUAGAAUAGAAUAAAAUAGAAUAGAAUAGAAUAGAAUAGAAUAGAAUAGAAUAGAAUAGAAUAGAAUAGAAUAGGAUGCUUUGUUGCAAUAAAAAAGGAGCACAAUGAUAUUUAAGGCAGCCAUCAUGUCAAAGUGCAUUAAGGAAAAUAAAACUAAGAAAUAAAGGAAAUUCAAAAGCAAAUAUAUGUAUGUACACAAUGUCUCAGGAGUCUGAUGGAUUAUGGGUAAAAACUAUAUGCAGUGAUCAUCUGAAAAGGAUACAUGACUCACUAACUUUGGAGAACCCGAGAAUAAUUAUUUUCUGGGGCAUUAAAGUGAUUUUUCAUUUUGGGCAGCAGCAAUUAGCCAAAAAAAGGAAUUAAAUUAAAAUAAAACAAAAAAA
This is a long non-coding RNA of Oryzias melastigma (Indian medaka), 1121 nucleotides long. RefSeq lists it as uncharacterized. The transcript has 2 exons. The record is from RefSeq and is a predicted model, not a curated record. Lineage: Eukaryota; Metazoa; Chordata; Actinopteri; Beloniformes; Adrianichthyidae.